RNAcentral lists this ribosomal RNA (253 nucleotides) under uncultured bacterium. RNAcentral describes it as "partial 16S ribosomal RNA". It matches the Rfam family "Bacterial small subunit ribosomal RNA", at positions 524 to 776 of the family's 1533-position model. The record is from RNAcentral.
UACGGAGGGUGCAAACGUUGCUCGGAAUCAUUGGGCGUAAAGCGCACGUAGGCGGUUCGUUAAGUCGAACGUGAAAUCCCCGGGCUCAACCCGGGAACUGCGUCCGAUACUGGCAGGCUUGAAUCCGGGAGAGGGAUGCGGAAUUCCAGGUGUAGCGGUGAAAUGCGUAGAUAUCUGGAGGAACACCGGUGGCGAAGGCGGCAUCCUGGACCAACACUGACACUGAGGAGCGAAAGCCAGGGGAGCAAACGGG